GGAGUUGUAGCUCAGAGGUAGAGCAUUUCCUCGUACAUAUGAGGCACUGGGUUCAAUUCCCAGCACCA
RNAcentral lists this transfer RNA (68 nucleotides) under Ictidomys tridecemlineatus (thirteen-lined ground squirrel). Its description in RNAcentral is "Spermophilus tridecemlineatus (thirteen-lined ground squirrel) tRNA". It matches the Rfam family "tRNA". From Rfam's summary of the family: Transfer RNA (tRNA) molecules are approximately 80 nucleotides in length. Their secondary structure includes four short double-helical elements and three loops (D, anti-codon, and T loops). The record is from Rfam by way of RNAcentral. Lineage: Eukaryota; Metazoa; Chordata; Mammalia; Rodentia; Sciuridae.